CCGGUGGGUGGAACCAAGAGAGCCUCUCCAGGGAGCAGCGUGCGCAGUCCAGAAGGCUGCAGUAUUUCCUCCAAGAAAAAAAAAAAAAAAAAAAAAGCUGCUUCAGCCCCUGCUGCAAGCAAAGUUGCGAUUCCCUCUGCUGGCUAUCUCGAAUAGCAAAGCGAAUUUUGCAGCAAAGCUGCCGCCGCUGGAACUCUGAAGAACUCCAAUGCGGGCGGCGGGUGAUUGCUUAGCCUCCCCUCCAUCUGCCCUGCUCCAGAGCUGCCUCUUUUCUUUGCUUGCCAAGUUCCAAGAUGGCCACAACAACCAGGGCUAGAAUAGGCUGAAACCAGGAGUCCAACCUUCAUCGAGGUCUCCCAUAGGGGUGGCAAGGACCCAAGUACUCGAGCCAUCUUCCAUUGCCUUCCCAGAUCCAGUGGGAAAGAGGAGCAAAAGCUUUUCAGGAUUAGCAGUGUGGCAUCUGCUAAUGUGUGUGCUGCAGGGAGCGGCAGCAAAGACUCCGUCCCUCAAACUGUCCUUUGUGGGGUGUGGGGUGGGGACCCUGGGACCCCAUGUCUCCAAAACAGGAUGUCCAGCCCAGAGAUGCAUUUAUAAUAUUCCUCCCUCCGGGGUGGCCAACACCGAGGUCCCAGUCCAAAAAAAAGGGCAAGUGGAAAGGUACAGGAACAGGGGAAAGCCAGUCUGUUCGCCCAGUAGGAUGGAUUCCCCUAAACCAUGAUCUGUGUGAGCUGCCUUAUUCUUUGUCUCCCUGAGUAGGGGACAAUGCUCGGGUUCCUAAUGCUUACAGACUAAGACUUCUUGGCCAAAUGUCUCCCUCUGCAGGGAAGGGUAGAGCUGUUUCCAGGGGCCGGGGACCCUGGCUUUAAAUGGACCUGCAGAUUCUAGGAUUCUGAUGUGCAGUCACCAUCAAGUAGCUAUUAAACACCUGGCCAGCUCCAGCUUAUUUGUUUUUGCUACAAACCCUGAGAAUUAGCUCAUUUUCUUGGUAAAGAAGCAAGGCUUGUUUCAAGGCUCCUAGAAGAAUCGCACAACAUCGUUGCUUGAGUUCAUUAUAGAGGUUUCUAUCCAUUAUGAGCAGGCAUAAAUAUAUUGGAUUCAAUAUGCUUGGUUUGGGAAAUCUCUUUUUGUCAGUUCCAGUAUAACCAAUUGUGCAUUAUACCAUGUCCUUGCUAAGAGUAGCCGAUGUAGAAAUACUUAACCUCCCAUCCAUAAACAUUUCUUUACCUGCAGAGCGCGAAAAGCUGAGCUUUUCAAGGCCUUAAUGUUAUCUAUUUUCCUGUGAAGGGAUAUGAUUUUUAUACCAGGUACAGUUUUCCUGUAGCUUUUUUUUCCCCACAUGUCUGCCUUUUAAAUGACCCCCUGAAGCUAAGAUCCUGACCACUUGGCCCUUGGUAAAUAUCUGGUGAUCCUCUUCCCCAACAGAUGGGAAGGGCCUCCCAAUACGCCCCUGGCCUCAUUUCAAUUUGGGUAAUUGCAUUCUGUCGACUUGAAAUUUCCCCACCAGCUUCCUCUGCCUGGGAUGCGAUGUGUCUUCCUCAGUUCUCAGCGGCCCGGCAGGCCGUUGGAGACUGGGGAACAGCUGGUGCAUUCCACCCCAGAAGUGGAUGUGUUUUAGCGGCAGGUGCAAAGGUUUUCUUCUGUCGAACACAAAUUCCAACCUAGGAAGAAGCUUUGUGGGUGCUUUUUAUUUGAGCCAUGAAUAAAAGUAAGUACCAGAAAAACCAGAAAUACAAAAAUAUCCGAAGCAUAAAUAUGAAUUGGGAGGAAAAGACACUUUCACCAAAGCCAGGCUAAUGUGUAAUCUUUUUGCAAUCCAUGAAUCUUAACAUGCUUCUAGAUUUGAGUUUUGAUAUUAAGGAUAAAUUGUUCACUUGAAACGGGCAACCUUUGUCUUCUGCAAGAAAGAAUUAUACACACACAAGCACACACACAUAUACACGUAAACAUACACACACUAUACAAACAUAACACACGUACAUGUAUAUACACACGUGUGUGUACAUGUCCUCUGAGAGUGUUCCUCAUUAUGGAAUAAAAAUAGCUUUCACGUAAUUGGGCAUUUAAUGUGUACCUCCAUGAGAAUAUGUGCAAAGAGUACUUUAAACAUUUAAAGGAAAAAUGGAAUUAAAAGAUAGGUUUAUCUUGUUUAGACAAGCUCAUAGUCAAAGUGGAGGUUCUCUCCUCCCUUCAGAGAAAGGUACCUCCUUCUUUGAAGACCUGUUCUUUCCACUGGGAUCUCACUCACAGAGAUCUUUUGCCAGAGUGUCUUGGCUUUCCAUGCCUGAAAUACUCUCAUGGGCUUUUCAGCCAGAUCCAAGUGCCUUUAGGGCUGAUUCUGAGGCCAGAGUGCUAUUUAGCACAUCCGCCAUUCUAUGAGUCUGCUGAGUAUCUCACUUCCCAUGUUGGAUCACUCUCCCCUUUAUUUAUUCUAUCGGUUAGUGUUAGCAGGUACUAGACUUGUUUAUGUGCUCCCUUUGACUCUUAGUCCUUUCAUUAUGAUCAAUUGUGAACUGAAAUUGAUCACUUGGAAUAGUGAGAUGGCAUUGGUACAUGCCACCUUGAUGGGAUUGAAUUGGAAUCCCCUGGUAUGUUUCUAACUCUACCAUUUGGGGCAAGUCAGCUUGAGCAUGUCCCAAAUUAUACAUCUCUUCCCUCUCUUAUUCCCACUCUUAUGUUUAACAGGGAUCACAUUUCAGUUAAUUUUCAACACUUAAGAAUAACUGUGUAUUAAUUACAGAAUUAAACCAGUCAUAUUAAGUAGAACAGACAAAAAAACUACUAAGAGGGAUAAUGUAUUAAGUUGUUCAUUAACAAUCAGGGCUAUGCUGAUCAAGUCACCAUUUCCCAUAGUGUCCAUUUCACUUCAACAGGUUUCCUUUUUGGUGUUCAGUCAGUUGUUACCGAUCAGGGAGAACAUAUGGUAUUUGUCCCUUUGGGACUGGCUUAUUUCACUCAGCAUGAUGUGUUCCAGAUUCCUCCAUUUUUGUUGACUAUGACCUUGUCUAAACAAGAUAAGAAUCGGAGAACUCAGAGGGCUUCCAUAGCCUUGGAAACUCAUGACUGGAGCAUAGGGAGAAUACUGAUGCCAUAGACAGGAGUGUCAUUUGGUAAAGUCAACAACAGGAGUCACUGUGCACUUACUCCUCAUGUAGGAUCUCUGUCCUUAAUGUGCUGUGCAUUGAGAUUUAAUGCUAUAACGAGUACUCAAGCAAUAUAUUUCACUUUGUGUUUCUAUGGGGGUGCAAACUGUUGAAAUCUUUACUUAAUGCAUACUAAAGUGAUCCUCUAAAAAAAAGAAAUUAUCAAUUCCCAACUUGACUCUCACUGGGAUUAAACAUGACAAUAGGUCUGAUCUGAUUUCAUCAUCAUUUAAAAAAAUCAUCUAUUAUUUUUCACUUUAUGUUUCUGUGUGGGAGCAAACUGUUGAAAUCCUUACUUAAUGUAUACUAAGCUGAUCUUCUGUAUAUUAAGAUAAUCGAAAAUGAAUCUUGAUGUGAAUGGAAGGGGAGAGGGAGUGGGAAAGGGGAGGGUUGUGGGUGGGAGGGACGGUAUGGGGGGGAAGCCAUUGUAAUCCAUAAAUCGUACUUUGGAAAUUUAUAUUCAUUAAAUAAAAGUUAAAAAAAAGAUAGGUUUAUGUUGUUGCAAAACUUUCUGAAAUCUAUGCAAAAUAUUUUUAUUAUACAUAUUUUCACAAAUUUUUGAAGACUCUGUCGUAACAUAUUUAAUUGAAAUGAGCUUAUCUUCUACAUCAAGCGGGAAUCUUAGAAGGGAUCCUAACUACUUGUCAUUCCUUAUCUCCUAUAAUGUGUAAAAAGGUAGCUGAUGAAAGAAUUGAAAUACUGACUUAAAAAGUCAAACUAAUUCAUCUCAAACUCUGACCCCCAAAAUACUGUUUCCAAGGGCUGUAAGCCCCUCAUCUCAACUCUUGGGAAUAUUUCCAUGGAAGCAGAGAUCCACCUUGCAUAGAGGGCCCUGACAAAGCAAAUGCAAAACAGGUGUGCCAUUCUUCCCCAGGGCUCUCCCAGAGGUGGCUUCCACAGGUGCCGGACGGCUGUGCACAUCCGAGCAGCCUGGAUGUACGGAGAGAUGGCACCAAAGCAUGAAAUAGGAGCAGGAGAGGGUCGCAAGACAUUAGCAGCAAUUCCAGCCAGGCUAUUCUAGCCCACCAACAUCAGAAGUAACCAACAUCAGAAGCUCUUCUCCAGCAGAGUUUCCCUCAGAUUCUACUGGACAGGACUGGCCACAUGCAACUACCUAAAUCACUCACUGACUGUGGAAGUCAAUUGUGGCAAUUGGCUGGGACUGCACAAGCCCCACCACCUCUGAGUCUGGCAGAAAGACCACCUUCUCAGAGCGAGUGACUACAUGUGUCUGAGGAGUGGCAGGUACAGUAGAAUAAAAUCGGAGCCCUCCAGGAAAGAAAGAGAAUUCAAGGAAAAUUAAUUUGGGUAAGAUCUUCAUUUUCAAGGAUGAGCUGCAUAUGUUGAAAGCUGAACUGCACCUAUUUUUAUUAUAAAUGAGAAAGUAAAAGAGUGGGCAUUUAGCUUAGCUGUUUAAGAUGCCCACAUACAAGUGUCUGGACUUGAUUUCUAGCUUUGAUCCUGACUUUACCUUCCUGCAAAGAUAGACCCCCCAGGAACAGUGGUGAUGGUUUAAGUUAUUGUUUCUGCUGCCCAAAUGAGAGACCUGGAUUGUAUUCCUGGUUCCUAGCUCUCAUACUGGCCCAGGCCAGUCCCUGCUAUUGCAGGUGUUUGGGGAGUGAACUGGUGGAUGAGAGAUCUCUCUGUUUCUCUAAAUGUCCAUCUCUUUAUCUUUACUUAUCUCUGCCUCUUAACAAAUAAAAAUCAAAUAGUCUUAACUUACAGUAAUGAGUAAAACAUACAACAUACAUAUAUAAUAUUCUAUAACAAAUAAAAUGUUUCAAUUCUGAUUAAAAUUUUGCAUGCCAGAAUAGUCAUUUAAAAUAUAUUUCAAAGUUACCAGGAAAUAAGUUAACAUAAUUGAUCUACAAUAACUUAAGAACUGUGCCUUGGAAUUUCCAUUUGCUAUUGUUCUUGACCCAUGUGCACACACAAAAACUGUUUAUAAACAUCCAUUCAAAAUCGUAUUAUGAAUGCAUGGACAUAAUGGCCAAUAGAAACCUAUGAAAGGAGUCUGAAUUAGAGUUCAGAAAAAGAUGCAUUGGAAAUCAAGCAUAAAUACCAGUGAGUGGAAGGGGACUGUGGUAAAAUUAUAUGAGAUUAAAAGAAAGACGAGCAGACUACAGUGACAGGCAAGUGAAGAAGAUUCCAGAAGAACCUAGUAACACUCACUGUGUGUGUGGUGACAGUGGGGGUGAAUCCCACAUUACCGCUGGGAAGACCACGAUACACCAAAGAUCAUGAGAAUGCCCUACGCCUGCACUGAACUGAGACAUUGCCAUCAGCAUGGGAGGGAAGGCACCCCCUGCACAGCAAAGAGCAGGGACCUGACCACCUAACUCCUGACUUUCCAAUUUCAGGGAAUGAAGUCUUCGGCAAACCUCCCAAGUUAAGGAGUCCCAACAUGGCAAGAAGAAUGCACAGCAAGUCAAACAGCUCCCUUCUCUGAAAGACACUGCUGGCCACCUCCAGGCUCUGACAGAACUCAUCUCUAUUCUUGAAUGUGACCCUUGCGCAAUAUGUUUGAGUAGUGGGAUGAUGUACAACUUUUUUUUUUAAAUCAUAUUCUCUAUAUUCAA
Oryctolagus cuniculus (rabbit) is the source of this 5719-nucleotide non-coding RNA. Lineage: Eukaryota; Metazoa; Chordata; Mammalia; Lagomorpha; Leporidae. The record is from RefSeq and is a predicted model, not a curated record.